RNAcentral lists this unclassified non-coding RNA (295 nucleotides) under uncultured fungus. Its description in RNAcentral is "sequence contains ITS1". The record is from RNAcentral. Lineage: Eukaryota; Fungi.
AGGACUACACGGGUAUCUAAUCCUGUUUGCUCCCCACGCUUUCGUGCCUCAGUGUCAGUGAUGGUCCAGAGAGCCGCCUUCGCAACUGAUGUUCCUCCCGAUCUCUACGCAUUUCACUGCUACACCGGGAAUUCCACUCUCCUCUACCUCACUCUAGCUUGCCAGUAUCCAUCGCCAUUCCCAGGUUGAGCCCGGGGAUUUCACGACAGACUUAACAAACCACCUACGCACGCUUUACGCCCAGUAAUUCCGAGUAACGCUUGCACCCUUCGUAUUACCGCGGCGGCUGGCACCA